RNAcentral lists this transfer RNA (72 nucleotides) under Ovis aries (sheep). It matches the Rfam family "tRNA". Rfam says of the family: Transfer RNA (tRNA) molecules are approximately 80 nucleotides in length. Their secondary structure includes four short double-helical elements and three loops (D, anti-codon, and T loops). Further hydrogen bonds mediate the characteristic L-shaped molecular structure. tRNAs have two regions of fundamental functional importance: the anti-codon, which is responsible for specific mRNA codon recognition, and the 3' end, to which the tRNAs corresponding amino acid is attached (by aminoacyl-tRNA synthetases). tRNAs cope with the degeneracy of the genetic code in two manners: having more than one tRNA (with a specific anti-codon) for a particular amino acid; and 'wobble' base-pairing, i.e. permitting non-standard base-pairing at the 3rd anti-codon position. Lineage: Eukaryota; Metazoa; Chordata; Mammalia; Artiodactyla; Bovidae. The record is from Rfam by way of RNAcentral.
UCCCUGAUAGCUCGGCUGGUAAAGAACCCACCUGCAAUGUGGGAGACCUGGGUUCGAUCCCUAGGUUGGGAA